CUUCUUCGAGUCCCUCAGCGGCAGCGCAAGCCCCCUCCAACCCUAUCCCUCCGCCGCACCAGGCCGAUGCCGCCGCCCGCCGAUGAUGAUUGGCGAGCUCCUAGAGGAUCUACUCCUUACUUCCUUAGACAGUAGCCGCUGAUACAGCACGCCGCCCGCCCGACCGCGAACCCCCUUGCAACGGCGACGUAUCCAUGACCACGGUGAUCACUUUGGAGCUGUAGCCAUUUUUUUGCGACAAAGCUGUAGAAGAAAUUUAGAUGCCAAACCAGAUCAAGUUUGAGAUCCAGUGAUGGAGGGGAGCAGUGCGACGUUGCCUUUAGUAAAGCUGAUAGUUCCAAUUAUCUCAGCAUGUGCACCAGCACUAUCAGCCAUGGAAUUUGUCAGCAGUGCUCAAAAUCAACAUUAAUUCCUCAAUGCUUCUCAUUGAUGAUUCCAGUAUACCGAAAAAGAAACAAUCAUUCUCUCAAGAGGACAAGAAGCUCGAUGAACAAGAAGCAUUGCAUCUAGAGGCAACUGUCGUGUGCCAUCAAGAUAUCAACGUUGAUGCAAUUUUUAAUGGCAAUUCUUGUUGAGCAAUGAUUAUUAUACUCCUUCAGACUUAGCCUUGCCCGUUAUGUACCAAAGCUGAUG
RNAcentral lists this ribosomal RNA (633 nucleotides) under Triticum aestivum (bread wheat). Its description in RNAcentral is "partial small subunit ribosomal RNA". Lineage: Eukaryota; Viridiplantae; Streptophyta; Magnoliopsida; Poales; Poaceae. The record is from RNAcentral.